This 2942-nucleotide ribosomal RNA is filed under the name [Clostridium] innocuum. RNAcentral's name for it is "23S ribosomal RNA". It matches the Rfam family "Bacterial large subunit ribosomal RNA". The record is from RNAcentral. Lineage: Bacteria; Bacillati; Bacillota; Clostridia; Eubacteriales; Clostridiaceae.
GUGAUUAAGUGAAUAAGGGCGUACGGUGGAUGCCUAGGCACUUGGAACUGAAGAAGGACGCAACAAACGGCGAAACGCGACGGGGAGUGGUACGUACACAAAGAUCCGUCGAUAUCCGAAUGGGGAAACCCGGCAGCAGUAAUGAGCUGUCACCCAUGAGUGAAUACAUAGCUCAUGAGGGAGGUACCCGGAGAACUGAAACAUCUAAGUAUCCGGAGGAAAAGAAAAUAAGAAUGAUUCCGUAAGUAGCGGCGAGCGAACGCGGAGGAGCCCAAACCAGAUCUUGAUCUGGGGUUGUAGGACCACGAGAUGGCAAGAGCAAGGCUAAGAGAACGGCAUUGAAAGGCCGACCGGAGAGGGUGCAAGUCCCGUAACUGAAAGUCUAGCGAAGCCUAGUGGUAUCCUGAGUACGGCGAGACACGAGAAAUCUUGUCGGAAGCAGGCGGGACCAUCCGUCAAGGCUAAAUAUACCCAAGUGACCGAUAGUGAACCAGUACCGUGAGGGAAAGGUGAAAAGAACCGCGGGAGCGGAGUGAAAUAGAACCUGAAACCGUAUGCUUACAAGAAGUCAGAGCCCGUUAAAGGGUGAUGGCGUGCCUUUUGUAGAAUGAACCGGCGAGUUACGUUAUCGUGCGAGGUUAAGUAGAAGAUACGGAGCCGAAGCGAAAGCGAGUCUUAAUAGGGCGACAGUACGAUGAUGUAGACCCGAAACCGUGUGAUCUAGCCAUGACCAGGUUGAAGUUCAGGUGAAACUGAAUGGAGGACCGAACCGACCCCCGUUGAAAAGUUGGCGGAUGAGUUGUGGCUAGGGGAGAAAUUCCAAUCGAACACGGAUAUAGCUGGUUCUCCCCGAAAUAGCUUUAGGGCUAGCGUCGAGGUAGAGUCGCAUGGAGGUAGAGCACUGAAUGUACGAUGGCCCCAUCCCGGGGUACUGAGUAUAAUCAAACUCCGAAUGCCAUGCAGACGUACUCGGCAGUCAGACUGUGGGUGAUAAGGUCCAUGGUCAAAAGGGAAACAGCCCAGACCGCCAGUUAAGGUCCCAAAAUGUAUGCUAAGUGGAAAAGGAUGUGGGGAUGCACAGACAACUAGGAGGUUGGCUCAGAAGCAGCCAUCCUUCAAAGAGUGCGUAACAGCUCACUAGUCGAGUGACCCUGCGCCGAAAAUGUACCGGGGCUAAGCAUACUACCGAAGCUGCGGAUUNNNNNNNNNNUAAGCAUACUACCGAAGCUGCGGAUUUGCAGUAAUGCAAGUGGUAGGGGAGCGUUGCAUGCACGUAGAAGCUGUACCGUAAGGAGCAGUGGAGAGCAUGGAAGAGAGAAUGCCGGUGUGAGUAGCGAGAUGUAGGUGAGAAUCCUACACACCGAUAGCCCAAGGAUUCCAGGGGAAGGUUCGUCCGCCCUGGGUAAGUCGGGACCUAACGCGAGGCCGAAAGGCGUAGUGGAUGGAAAACAGGCAGAUAUUCCUGUACCCGCGAUGGAAAUGAAGGAAUGACGGAGAAGGCUAGUGUGAGCCACUGAAUGGAUUGUGGUCGAAGCAUAUAGCAGGCUGACAGUGAAAUGCGUCAGCGGGAUGUAAGAUGUGAUAGGUAAGGGAACGUCCUCGGACAAGUACUGAAGCACAUGAUGCCAGCUUCCAAGAAAAGUUUCUAGUAUAUUCCAUAGCGGCCCGUACCAAAACCGACACAGGUGGGCAAGGAGAGAAUCCUGAGGUGAGCGAGAGAACUGUUGCCAAGGAACUCGGCAAAAUGACUCCGUAAGUUAGCGAUAAGGAGUGCUCUUGUAAAAGAGAGCCGCAGUGAAGAGGCCCAAGCGACUGUUUAACUAAAACACAGCUCUCUGCAAAGUCGCAAGACGAAGUAUAGGGGGUGACGCCUGCCCGGUGCUGGAAGGUUAAGAGGAUUUGUCAUCCGCAAGGAGAAGCAAUGAAUUGAAGCCCCAGUGAACGGCGGCCGUAACUAUAACGGUCCUAAGGUAGCGAAAUUCCUUGUCAGGUAAGUUCUGACCCGCACGAAAGGCGUAACGAUUUGGGCGCUGUCUCGGCAGCAGACUCGGUGAAAUCUUAGUACCUGUGAAAAUGCAGGUUACCCGCAACUAGACGGAAAGACCCCAUGGAGCUUUACUGUAGCCUGAUAUUGAAUUUUGAUCAAAGAUGUACAGGAUAGGUGGGAGGCUGUGAGACGUGUACGCCAGUAUACGAGGAGCCGCUGUUGGGAUACCACUCUUGUUUGAUUGAAGUUCUAACCUGCACCCAUGAACUGGGUGAGGGACCGUGUCAGGUGGGCAGUUUGACUGGGGCGGUCGCCUCCUAAAGAGUAACGGAGGCGCCCAAAGGUACGCUCAGAUUGGAUGGAAAUCAAUCGACGAGUGCAAAUGCAGAAGCGUGCUUGACUGUGAGACAAACAAGUCGAACAGGGACGAAAGUCGGGAUUAGUGAUCCGGCGGUGCCGAAUGGAAGGGCCGUCGCUCAACGGAUAAAAGCUACCCUGGGGAUAACAGGCUGAUCUCGCCCAAGAGUUCACAUCGACGGCGAGGUUUGGCACCUCGAUGUCGGCUCAUCGCAUCCUGGAGCUGAAUUCGGUUCCAAGGGUUGGGCUGUCCGCCCAUUAAAGCGGUACGCGAGCUGGGUUCAGAACGUCGUGAGACAGUUCGGUCCCUAUCUGUUGUGGGCGUUGGAGAUCUGAGGAGAGCUGUCCUUAGUACGAGAGGACCGGGAUGGACCUACCGCUGGUGCACCAGUUGUUCCGCCAGGAGCAUAGCUGGGUAGCUAAGUAGGGAAGGGAUAAGCGCUGAAAGCAUCUAAGCGCGAAGCCUACUCCAAGAUGAGAUCUCCCAUUCGUAAAACGAAGUAAGACCCCUUGAAGACGACGAGGUGGAUAGGUCAGAGAUGGAAGUGUAGCGAUACAUGGAGUUGACUGAUACUAAUAGGUCGAGGACUUAAUCACA